This is a long non-coding RNA of Hyalella azteca, 378 nucleotides long. RefSeq lists it as uncharacterized. The record is from RefSeq and is a predicted model, not a curated record. Lineage: Eukaryota; Metazoa; Arthropoda; Malacostraca; Amphipoda; Hyalellidae. The transcript has 3 exons.
AAAGAGGAACCAUUCUUAGAUGGAAAUGAAGCCUCUUCAAAUCAACAUCUUCCUGGUGUACCAUGCAAGACAGAAGCAAAAGUUGAGACUCACGACGCCCAUCCAAACUCCUCACAAAACAUUUCUGCUUUGUUGUUGAAUCAGUUUGGCGAAGGUGGGUCAGCAUCUAACCCAUCAGGAGACGCUGCUGGCGACGCUGGCAUCUCUGGGGCGUCCAACUCCAAGCAAAACAUAGAAAAAUCGUUCAAACAUUCAGCAGAAAAAUCUUUGCAGUGCUCCAAGUGUGAUGCUUGCACCACAAAAAGGAACUUGAAAAUUCAUUCGCUCUCAAAGCAUUCAGAAGUAAAACCUUAUCAGUGCUCUGAGUGUGAUUAUGCU